UACGUAGGGAGCAAGCGUUGUCCGGAAUCAUUGGGCGUAAAGCGCGCGUAGGUGGCUUCGUAAGUCCGUUGUGAAAGUCAAAGGCUCAACCUUUGAAAGCCGAUGGAUACUGUGAAGCUAGAGUACGGAAGAGGCGAGUGGAAUUCCUGGUGUAGCGGUGGAAUGCGUAGAUAUCAGGAGGAACACCGAUGGCGAAGGCAGGUCUCUGGGCUGACACUGACGCUCAUGCACGAAAGCGUGGGGAGCAAACAGG
RNAcentral lists this ribosomal RNA (253 nucleotides) under uncultured bacterium. Its description in RNAcentral is "partial 16S ribosomal RNA". It matches the Rfam family "Bacterial small subunit ribosomal RNA", at positions 524 to 776 of the family's 1533-position model. The record is from RNAcentral.